Molecule: ribosomal RNA, 516 nt
Filed under: uncultured bacterium
Lineage: Bacteria
Description: bacterial LSU rRNA
Rfam family: Bacterial large subunit ribosomal RNA
Source: RNAcentral
UUGGGCAUUGAGUUGCGCUGAAUAGACCCCGAAGCGAAGUGAUCUACCCAUGGCCAAGGCGAAUCCGCCGUAACAGGCGGAGGAGGCCUGAACUGAUGUUAGUUGCAAAUGGCUCGGAUGAGCUGUGGGUAGGGGUGAAAAGGCUAAUCAAAACUUCGUGAUUGCUGGUUCUCCCCGAAAUAACUAGAGGGUUAGCCUCGUUUCAGCCGUGACGGAGGUAGAGCACUGAAUGAGCUAGGGGCGUUCCAACGCUACCGAACUCAAUCAAAACUCCGAAUGCCGUUACUGGACGAACGGGAGUUAGACUACGAGUGCUAAGAUCCGUGGUCAAAAGGGAAAUAGCCCAGACCGUCAGCUAAGGUCCCUAAUCGUGAGCUAAGUGGAAAAGGUUGUAAGAUCGCUCAGACAGCCAGGAGGUUGGCUUAGAAGCAGCCAUCCUUUAAAGAGUGCGUAAUAGCUCACUGGUCGAGCGAUUUUGCGCCGAAAAUGUAACGGGGCUCAAGUUCACAACCGAAG